GGGACUCUAUCUUCGGGAGGGAUGAUCAACUCCGCAAAUAUCGAUCGACCUUGGCUUUUUAGAGAAUCCCGCUCCUGAGUCGGAGAAAUCACGUCCAUCAACGCUGGUCCUUGUUUGGUCAUAAGGAUAAUCGUUCUUAGAGAGAGAAUCGUGGACGUGUAUAGUCGGCCAAAAAGUGAGGUGGCUGUAGUACCGGCGGAUUUGGAGCAGAGGAGUGGCGAAAGUGAGAAAGACUACAUCAACCGCUUGAAAGCUUUUAUAGAGAAACAGUGCUCGGAGAUUCAGAACCUUCUUGCUCGGAAUGCUGCUUUGGCAGAAGACGUAGCGAGCUCUGGGAGGAGUGAGCAAUCUCAAGGAUCAUAGCAAAGAGCAAGUACAGUAAUGGAGAAAGUUCAGAUAGAUAGCAUCAAGCGAGAACUCCAAGAAACAUCUCAGCGUUUAGAGACAAUAAACAGAAAAAGCCAAGAUGGAGUCUGAUGCAUCAGAAUACAAGAACAUAGCUGCGAAACUCGAAUCAGACCUAAAGGGCCUGUCGGACGCAUACAACAGUCUAGAACAAGCGAACUACCAUCUCGAGAAAGAGGUGAGAUCCUUGUUAAGGAAGAAGUGAGAAAGGAAGCUCAGAAAGAGAGCGAAGACGAGUUGAACGACUUGUUAGUGUGUUUGGGACAAGAGGAGAGUAAAGUGGAGAAGCUAACGGCGAAGCUGGUAGAGUUAGGAGUUGAUGUUGAUAAGCUUUUGGAGGAUAUUGGGGACGAGUCGCAAGCUCAAGGGGAAUGUGAAGAUGAUGAUGAUGAUGACCGGUAAACAAAGUUGUAGAGAUCAAAAUCUUCUCAGUCACUAGUAAUUUAUCAUCUACUUUCCAACAUGUUAUAUUGUUUUCUUGAUUUCUCAGAAGCUUUUUUACUUCAAGAUAUAGACAAGAUGAAUGAAUGAAAGAAGAAUCAGAUUUGGUUUC
Molecule: long non-coding RNA, 958 nt
Organism: Brassica oleracea var. oleracea
Lineage: Eukaryota; Viridiplantae; Streptophyta; Magnoliopsida; Brassicales; Brassicaceae
Exons: 2
Source: RefSeq, a predicted model, not a curated record